AAAAACAAAAUAAUAAAAAAAUAAAAAAACUGACCUAUGUUCCCUUUUUUUUUUCUUAGUUCCCAAAUCUGAACUCCCUGUCUCUGAAUCUAUCUCUCGCUCGAUUCUCUCCUUUAAGUCUCCAUUCUCUCUCGCUCGAAUCUCACUGUCUCUUUCACUCGACUCUCACUUUGAUGAAGAUUUGAAGAUUUUGAUAGACUGUUGAUGAAGAUUUGAAGAUUUCAAUCUGCUGUUGAUGAAGAUUUCGAUCGAUUCAUAAUCAAGAUUCAUAACCACUCAUUAGAGAUGGCAUUAAGGGAAGCAUCGUGAACUCAAGAGGUUGUUUUUACCGGUAAAUCAAUUAAUCUUCAAUUUGUCUGCCUAUAUGUGUUUUUUUGUUCAAUUUUCACGAUCUGAUCUUGCUAUUGUUUUUCGUUUUCGCUAUAAUCAUCUCUCUCUCUCUCUCUCUCUCUCUCGUUUCAUGAUUUGAGCAAGGAUUUUGAACAGAGAUUCAGUUUCAGUGAUUUUGAAUGAUUCCAUUGAUGAAUUUUAAUGUCCUUUUGCGUGCUCAGAUUCAAAUCGUCUAUGUUUUGCUAAACUCUUUCCGCUUAUGCAUGUAGUUUGUUUAUUGGGGAUGUAGAGUAGCUUAAUUAUGAUAAUUUUAUGAACCUUGAGGCAGAGCUCACCAAUCGUGAUGGUGGAUAAAUGCAUAUGGUUGUACUAGGUCAGUGAAUUUUGAUUAGAGACUGGAAUUUUGAUUUAUUUGAUUCAAGCAUUCCUUAGAUUUAUUUGUCAAUGAAUAUACAAGAGAUAUAGGGAAAACAUGACACUGAUUGUAUCUGGUCAUGAUUCUUGUUUUCGGACAUUACGUGAUGUAGAUAAUGUAAAGAUGGAAGGUGAUAACGACAUUGAGGAUGAUAAUAAUCAUGUACAAACAACCCGUGGUGGCAGUGAGGUUGAUGGAAUGCACGAUUCUGUUUCUUCCCCUGCUGCAGAGGCUCACUGUCAGAUGAUUCAUGUCAUCUUGAAACUUCUAUAUCAAGGAUUAAUUAUGAGACUUGGGAUAUUGUGAUAUCUUCUAAUUUAAGACCUUCAGAUUGUAUCAGGAAGGGAUCAGCUGGUGUUGUGGGUAUGAUGCUUCUAAAAUUACACCAGAACUUGCAUGCUCCAUUUACGUAGGUUGUUUUAGCUUCAGUAGACUAAGAUUAUUUUCCAGUUACUUUUUUUUAAUCCCUAUAAUUUCAAUAGAAGCAAUGUUGACUUGUUCUCUAUGCUUAAUAUAGGAUGCACCACUUAUGACAGAAGACAUGCAUGAGGAACGACUCAAUGCUGUAGAAGCCUUGGGUUCUUUAUUUUGUGUAAACUCUUCAUCAUAUUUAUUAUGACUGUGGUGAAGAUGGCCAUUGUGGGCAUGUUAUUGAUACGCAUAUACAUUGAUUUAUUAUAUGAAUUUGCUGACGUAGACUGGGACGGCCUUGGAUUUGCACUUACGCCUACUGAUUAUAUGUAUAUCAUGAAAUGUUCAUAAGGGCAAAGCUUUACUAAAGGUGAAUUACAACGUUUUGGGAACAUUGAAUUGAUGGGCAGGAUGAUAUUAACAGAUUAAAAGGACAAGGAUACUACUAACUUCCUUGUAUCACUGGGAUAAAAGCCUCGCACAUAUUUACAUGGAGAAAUUCUUCACUGUGGAUAUGACGCUAACUUCGGCUUCAAUAAUUAAAGUAUCAUUCACAAGGAAGCCCUUAGAAGCAUCAUGGAGGUCAGUUAAUGACAAGAAUGAAGAUGUACCCCAGGAGAUGGAGCUUGAAGUAAAACAAUUGGAACCUGCGAGAGAAUUGGACAAUUGUUAUUUAACUACCCAAAAGAUCUACAUAAAUGAAAAGCUCUUCAUAAUUUGCAAAUGCGACAAGCAGUGUCCCAUGGAUAUGAUUUCUUCGGACUGUAUUCAUACUUAUUUUACACUUUUAUGUUCAUUUGUUGGAUUUUUAGAGGAAACGAAGGGUAAAUAUAUGUUCAUGUUGACAUUGUGGCACCUAAGAUAUGAACAAAAAAUAGAAGAAAACAUAAUAUCACCUUCAAUUUCCA
Non-coding RNA from Camellia sinensis, 2064 nucleotides. The record is from RefSeq and is a predicted model, not a curated record. NCBI's taxonomy places the organism in Eukaryota, Viridiplantae, Streptophyta, Magnoliopsida, Ericales, Theaceae.